Paramuricea clavata is the source of this 3460-nucleotide non-coding RNA. Lineage: Eukaryota; Metazoa; Cnidaria; Anthozoa; Malacalcyonacea; Plexauridae. The record is from the annotation of a GenBank genome assembly.
AUUAUUCGGUGGAUCAUUUAUAGGAGGAGGGGGAUCAUCAGCUAUGUUAAAUUAACUAUUUCUGAACAAAGGUCUUUGUUCUUAGAGUUAUUGCGAGUUUUGUUUAAAGCAUUUAAUGACCCAUGAUCAUUGUUCGUAGGGGCAUUUUGUGCUUCACUGCGCUCGAGAAAUAGCUUCCCCUUAAUAUAUUGGAUUUCUAACUUAAGUUUAUGUAUUUCUUCGUCUUUUUGUUUUAUAGUAGAUUCCAUCUCCUUCUGCUUAACGUGCAUUGAGUUGAUAUCAUCAAACUUAGAUUCUUGCCGAGAUAUCGAAGUAAAUAGUCGAGACUCUAAAGUCUUUAAGUCGAGUUUCACUCCUUCCAACUGAGCGAUUAUAUAUCUGUUUAUACAGUUAUCAGUAUGUUCACAUACCUUAGCCUUUGAUACCGAACUGCUGUUGCUCACAUUUGUUACCUCAUCACAUUCUAAAUUAAGUAUUUAUCUUACUAGAUACAAACGCAAUGUUUUCUCCUUCGUCAUACCUAAUUACAUGUGCUCUUAUUUUUCCCGCGCAUUAUAAUUUAUUUAAUAAAUUAUGUGUAACUGUCAAUCACUACAUUGUUCUCUUCUUUUUUUUUAACAAAACUCAACGGAAUAACUAUGAUUUGUUCGUUAUUGUUCAUAUCAUACUAAAGUUCUAUGAAAUAAGUCCUGGGGCCGGUUGUAUAAAAAAGUGAUUAAAGUUAACUGCAGUUAGUGGAAACGUCAUCCAAUAAGAAGCGUUUAUUUGAGAGUUAAUCACUAUUUAACUACAAAAUAGUGGUUAGAAAGUGAUUAAGAGUUUUAUACAACCGGCCCCAGAUGGUAUUGAGUAACCAAAUUUCUCGUUGAUCUUCUUGAUAUCGGGUGACUUUCUUCUAUAAAGUCCUGCAUAUCAUCUCCGACCCUGUUGUCCUGUACAUCUUCCACGGUAGUUGACUUCUCGUCAUCACUACUUUGUUCGUCUACAGGUUUAAUUAACUACUUUGAAAUGAGUCACAUUACGCGUGGUGGUUCGUCUGCCAUUUCGUGCCGUAGCUGUUGCGCCUUUCCUCUCCACGAUCGUAAAUCGCUCGGGUUUGAAUCUUGGAGAUAACUUGUUGUUUGGUUUCUGUUUACAAAUAACAAUGUCCCCUUCCUUGAUCUUGGAUGUUUUGGUGUUAAGGACCUCAAAUUUCAGAGAGGUUAGUUUGUGAAUUUUCUCAGAGGAUGUAUUAAUUUGCAUGUACAUGGAAAUGUAUUUUUAGACAAAAUAAACUAGUAUAAACCAGUCAUAUUUGUUCUUUGAUGGUAAAUACGGUAUUGGAAUGAUGGCCCAUGUAUCUGGAAAUAUUUCCACUUUCUAAAGUUGUAAAAUUCCUUUGGAAUUUUGAGUAAAACCUUCGAACUUCGGGCGAUGUUUUUAAGUAAUUUACUAGAUGCGCGGCCGCUGACAUGAUCUGAUAUGAUCACGGGCGGGGGUCACAGAACGCCCGGUGUCACAGUGAUACGAACAUCCCCGUGACUUUAGUAUCCCCACACUAAUAUCCCCAGGGAUAAAAGUACCCCCGGUGGGGAUACCUACAACACUAGAAGCGAAAGGAUGCAAUAUUCAAAAUAUGAGCAGGAGGAAAGUCAUUCAUCUGUGCCUUUAUUUUCCGGUAAGCAUUUGUUUUUACAGUAAUGCUGCAGUAAAUGUGUAUAAUGUGAUUGUGCUAAUGUUGUAAGACAGCAUGUUCGCGUUGCAUAAAUUGGUGUCUAACAUAGUGUAGAAUUACUCUUAACAUUAAUCCUAAUGCAUAGUAGUACAUUGUACUUGUUAUUUCCUGACACUGCAUUCUUGACUGCACUUCCAAUUCAUAUCUUUUCUUUUAAAGACCUGUUUCCCUAGUGAUGUGGGAAUGUAGGGUGGUUCUUCAAGGAUACGCAGAACACGACCUCCAUAUUGCUGGGGAUACACAUAUUCCUAGUGAGGUGAGCAUGGGGAUACACAUAUCCCUAGUGAUAUUAGUAGGGGAUACACAAAAGACGGGGAUACUCAUAUCACUGUGACACCGGAAUAAAAUGACUACCAAUAUGGCCGGAUAUGCAUCAACAUUUUAAAGUUUUUUAUCAUGUUAUUCAUGUAUUACGAUAUUAAAACGAGAUCCUAAAAGCCUCGUCACUACAGAUUGUUUCUACUAAAUUUAAUGUUGGUCACAGACAGGCAAGUACGGUAUGUUUACUGCAAUAUUUACCUUUAACUUUGCUUUUACUGUAAAUCUAUAUUUUCAUGAUCAGUUCAUAUUUUGUGAAUGUGAUUGUGUAUUAAAAUAUUUCUCCUAAAAUUCUACGCGUAUCGUUGGUUCAGUAGUUCUGUUGCUGGUUGUAUAUAAUAACAGUUCAAUGAAUAACUUUGCAGUUUGAGCUGUUGAUAUCAUAGAGACCUUACUAUAAGUAUAACAGUAAUUUAGUAAAGUUUGAUAGUCAUGUGAUAGCUGUAUAAAAGCUAAGCAAGUACUUUUGAUGUUUUGAUAUCAUUGUAUAGUUGAAAUAGAAUAGAUAAGUGAUCUGUAUAUAUGGGAAUAUUAAUUUUCAACCAUAGUAUUUGGCAGUUGGGUUCUAUUAUUAUGUUGAAUUAUUUUCACUGUGAUUUAUUAAAUACUGGGUAUUACUGUAUACAGGGCCUCUUUUAACAUAAAGACUGGGGGGGACAUGGCCCCCUCCCAGCCCCCCUUACUGCCCCCCCAGUCGGCAAUUUUGUCCCCCCCAGUAGAAAGUCCCUUUUCAUAUUUUUUGGUGUGAAAAUAACUCCCAAAGUCAAUAUUGGACAACAUAAUUAAUCCUUAUUCCAGUAUUCCUUUCGCAGAAUCUCUGCUAUUCCUUUGCCUUCCCAUUCUGGACAAUGAAAAAUAGAAAAAUAGUCAAAUAGGAAAUUUCGAUCUGCAAAAAAAUAUUUUUCAAAGUGGGACUGGGAACGAAAGUGGGAACAUUGGGAUUUUGGGGGAAAUCUCGGGAUAUUCGGGAAGCUUAGUAGGGAAUUUCAAAAACAUAAUUUACAUCAAAAUUUACAUGCAAAUUGCUUGCAUUUGUUUGUACUAUUAGUAUUAAAAAUGCCGUAUGCAAAUAAAAGAAAAGCGAAUAUUGAAAAACUGUUAAAACAAGAAGCGAGUAAAUGCAAAAAGGUAUCGGAUUUCUUCACAAAGAACGAAAAUGCAAGAACAUCGUCAUCGACAUCGUGCGAUACAAACGUUGAGAAGGAGUCAGAGCAAUUAUUAAAUAUGGCGCCAAUUGAAGUGGAAAGCGAAGUACAAGGCACUGCAGCUACUGGAGGCACUGACCAAGGAGAACCUCGUAAAGACAAUGAACUGAAUGAAGUGGAUUUUGAUAUUCGAAAUUCAGAUAGGGAAGGUAAUGUUCAAUUUGUUCAUACACGGGCUCCUUCGAAUAAUAUUCCAAGCAAUACUACACCUUCGACCUUAUCG